This 253-nucleotide ribosomal RNA is filed under the name uncultured bacterium. RNAcentral's name for it is "partial 16S ribosomal RNA". It matches the Rfam family "Bacterial small subunit ribosomal RNA", at positions 524 to 776 of the family's 1533-position model. The record is from RNAcentral.
UACGGGGGGGGCAAGCGUUGUUCGGAAUUACUGGGCGUAAAGGGCUCGUAGGCGGCCAACUAAGUCAGACGUGAAAUCCCCAGGCUCAACCUGGGAACUGCGUCUGAUACUGGAUGGCUUGAAUCCGGGAGAGGGAUGCAGAAUUCCAGGUGUAGCGGUGAAAUGCGUAGAUAUUCGCAAGAACACCAGUGGCGAAGGCGGCUCACUGGCCCGAUACUGACGCUGAGGCACGAAAGCGUGGGGAGCAAACAGG